AAAAAAUUAGUUAAACCUUUCAAUAACAUUAGUUUGUCAAACUAAAAUUAUUUUUUUAAAAAUAUUUUUUA
Molecule: transfer RNA, 71 nt
Filed under: Pterygota sp. 3 LC-2017
Lineage: Eukaryota; Metazoa; Arthropoda; Insecta
Description: tRNA-Asp
Source: RNAcentral